Molecule: long non-coding RNA, 659 nt
Organism: Hemicordylus capensis (graceful crag lizard)
Lineage: Eukaryota; Metazoa; Chordata; Lepidosauria; Squamata; Cordylidae
Exons: 4
Source: RefSeq, a predicted model, not a curated record
GGGAAAGGAGGAGGGGGAAAACCAGAGUUGUUUCUGAAUAAACUCUUAGUUGAAUCUACAGAAGAUUGCGUUUGUGAAGGAAGCAGCUAUAAAACACAGGCUUGCUCUUGAGAGAGAAGAAAGUGGAGAGACAUGUGAGGUGCACUGCAAGCAAACAUUCUGGACAAUAUUAGGUUUUCAUGUCCCCUUUCCAAAAUGUGACAUUGUAGCACCUAUUUGACAGCUGCUGUCAUAUGUGACAAAAGAGACUGGCCCAGGAAGAAACUUUGAAGAUGCGUCAUUCAGCAAUAACAGUGAAUGACCUUUGCGGGCCAACAAUUCAGAGCAGAGGAAAAGAUCUGGGAAGAAUGAGGGCAGCGGAUCACCCACCAAAACUCCUACAUGUGUACAGACACCUGAGUGCACGCACAACAUAAUGUCUGAACAGGACAAAGGUUGCUUUGGCUACUGGGUGUGGCCUCCCACCCGACAAUUGCCCAUCCAUGCCAAAAAGGCAUUUUAAAACAUAAUUAUAAUGUGGGGGAAGGUUUGCCCAGAUGUAAGAGGAUAAGAGUCUUUACUCUGUUUUCCUGUUUACAAUGGCAUCUACUAAUUCAGUGUUCCCUGAACUUUUGGCAUCUGUAUUUCAAUCAUUUCUGUAUUAAAAUCGGAAGCAGGUG